AACGAACGCUGGCGGCAGGCUUAACACAUGCAAGUCGAACGCACCUUUCGGGGUGAGUGGCAGACGGGUGAGUAACGCGUGGGAAUCUACCCUUCUCUACGGGAUAGCUCCGGGAAACUGGAAUUAAUACCGUAUACGUCCUGAGGGAGAAAGAUUUAUCGGGGAAGGAUGAGCCGGCGUUGGAUUAGCUAGUUGGUGGGGUAAAGGCCUACCAAGGCGACGAUCCAUAGCUGGUCUAAGAGGAUGAUCAGCCACAUUGGGACUGAGACACGGCCCAAACUCCUACGGGAGGCAGCAGUGGGGAAUAUUGGACAAUGGGCGCAAGCCUGAUCCAGCCAUGCCGCGAGAGUGAUGAAGGCCCUAGGGUUGUAAAGCUCUUUCAGUGGGGACGAUAAUGACGGUACCCACAGAAGAAGCCCCGGCUAACUUCGUG
Molecule: ribosomal RNA, 433 nt
Filed under: uncultured bacterium
Lineage: Bacteria
Description: partial 16S ribosomal RNA
Rfam family: Bacterial small subunit ribosomal RNA
Source: RNAcentral